This 439-nucleotide ribosomal RNA is filed under the name uncultured bacterium. Its description in RNAcentral is "partial 16S ribosomal RNA". It matches the Rfam family "Bacterial small subunit ribosomal RNA", at positions 339 to 795 of the family's 1533-position model. The record is from RNAcentral.
CUACGGGUCGCUCCAGUGAGGAAUAUUGCACAAUGGGGGGAACCCUGAUGCAGCAACGCCGCGUGGAGGAUGACGCAUUUCGGUGUGUAAACUCCUUUUAUAUGUCAAGAAAAUGACGGUAGCAUAUGAAUAAGCACCGGCUAACUCCGUGCCAGCAGCCGCGGCAAUACGGAGGGUGCAAGCGUUACUCGGAAUCACUGGGCGUAAAGGACGCGUAGGCGGGUUGGAAAGUCAGGUGUGAAAUCCUACAGCUUAACUGUAGAACUGCACUUGAAACUUCUAAUCUAGAGUAUGGGAGGGGGAGAUGGAAUUAGUGGUGUAGGGGUAAAAUCCGUAGAUAUCACUAGGAAUACCUAAAGCGAAGGCGAUCUCCUGGAGCAUAACUGACGCUAAGGCGUGAAAGCGUGGGGAGCAAACAGGAUUAGAUACCCCUGUAGUC